AUUUAAAUAGCUUAUAAGAGAGUAUAGUAUUGAAGAUACUAAGGAAAGGGCAUCUUUUUAAAUA
RNAcentral lists this transfer RNA (64 nucleotides) under Bikasha collaris. RNAcentral's name for it is "tRNA-Phe". The record is from RNAcentral. Lineage: Eukaryota; Metazoa; Arthropoda; Insecta; Coleoptera; Chrysomelidae.